This 423-nucleotide ribosomal RNA is filed under the name uncultured bacterium. RNAcentral describes it as "partial 16S ribosomal RNA". It matches the Rfam family "Bacterial small subunit ribosomal RNA", at positions 359 to 774 of the family's 1533-position model. The record is from RNAcentral.
GAAUUUUGGUCAAUGGGCGAAAGCCUGAUCCAGCAAUGCCGCGUGCAGGAUGAAGGCCUUCGGGUUGUAAACUUCCUUUUUUCGGAACGUAAAGCUUUGGGUUAAUACCCUGGAGUCAUGACGGUACCGUUAGAAUAAGUACCGCCUAACUACGUGCCCCCAGCCGCGGCAAAACGUCGGGUGCAAGCGUUAAUUGGAAUUACUGGGCGUAAAGCGUGCGCAGGCGGUUUUGUAAGACAGAGGUGAAAUCCCCGGGCUCAACCUGGGAACUGCCUUUGUGACUGCAGGGCUAGAGUACGGCAGAGGGGGGUGGAAUUCCGCGUGUAGCAGUGAAAUGCGUAGAUAUGCGGAGGAACACCGAUGGCGAAGGCAACCCCCUGGGCCUGUACUGACGCUCAUGCACGAAAGCGUGGGGAGCAAACA